RNAcentral lists this ribosomal RNA (497 nucleotides) under uncultured bacterium. Its description in RNAcentral is "partial 16S ribosomal RNA". It matches the Rfam family "Bacterial small subunit ribosomal RNA", at positions 28 to 507 of the family's 1533-position model. The record is from RNAcentral.
GAUGAACGCUGGCGGCGUGCCUAAUACAUGCAAGUCGAGCGAACAGACGAGGAGCUUGCUCCUCUGACGUUAGCGGCGGACGGGUGAGUAACACGUGGAUAACCUACCUAUAAGACUGGGAUAACUUCGGGAAACCGGAGCUAAUACCGGAUAAUGUAUUGAACCGCAUGGUUCAAUAGUGAAAGACGGUUUUGCUGUCACUUAUAGAUGGAUCCGCGCCGCAUUAGCUAGUUGGUAAGGUAACGGCUUACCAAGGCAACGAUGCGUAGCCGACCUGAGAGGGUGAUCGGCUACACUGGAACUGAGACACGGUCCAGACUCCUACGGGAGGCAGCAGUAGGGAAUCUUCCGCAAUGGGCGAAAGCUUGACGGAGCAACGCCGCGUGAGUGAUGAAGGCCUUCGGAUCGUAAAACUCUGUUAUUAGGGAAGAACAAAUGUGUAAGUAACUAUGCACGUCUUGACGGUACCUAAUCAGAAAGCCACGGCUAACUACGUG